This 87-nucleotide transfer RNA is filed under the name Acidimicrobiia bacterium. Its description in RNAcentral is "tRNA-Leu". It matches the Rfam family "tRNA". Rfam says of the family: Transfer RNA (tRNA) molecules are approximately 80 nucleotides in length. Their secondary structure includes four short double-helical elements and three loops (D, anti-codon, and T loops). RNAcentral also lists the same sequence under 2 other names. The record is from RNAcentral. Lineage: Bacteria; Bacillati; Actinomycetota; Acidimicrobiia.
GGGCGAGUGGCGGAAAUGGCAGACGCGCUGGCUUCAGGUGCCAGUGAGGGAAACCUCGUGGGGGUUCAAGUCCCCCCUCGCCCACCA